GUGUCAGCCGCCGCGGUAAGACGAACCGUCCAAACGUUAUUCGGAUUCACUGGGCUUAAAGGGUGCGUAGGCGGCCCGGAAAGUUGGGUGUGAAAGCCCUCGGCUCAACCGAGGAAUUGCGCCCAAAACUACCGGGCUCGAGGAAGACAGAGGUAAGCGGAACUUAGGGUGGAGCGGUGAAAUGCGUUGAUAUCCUAAGGAACACCAGGAGCGAAAGCGGCUUACUGGGUCUUUUCUGACGCUGAGGCACGAAAGCUAGGGGAGCGAACGGGAUUAGAUACCCCGGUAGUCCUAGCCGUAAACGAUGAGCACUGGGUUGGAGGGUCCCCCAUAACCUUCUAGCCGUAGCGAAAGUGUUAAGUGCUCCGCCUGGGGAGUAUGGUCGCAAGGCUGAA
RNAcentral lists this ribosomal RNA (395 nucleotides) under uncultured bacterium. Its description in RNAcentral is "bacterial SSU rRNA". It matches the Rfam family "Bacterial small subunit ribosomal RNA", at positions 505 to 898 of the family's 1533-position model. The record is from RNAcentral.